Molecule: ribosomal RNA, 494 nt
Filed under: uncultured Flavobacterium sp.
Lineage: Bacteria; Pseudomonadati; Bacteroidota; Flavobacteriia; Flavobacteriales; Flavobacteriaceae
Description: bacterial SSU rRNA
Rfam family: Bacterial small subunit ribosomal RNA
Source: RNAcentral
GAGUUUGAUCAUGGCUCAGGAUGAACGCUAGCGGCAGGCUUAACACAUGCAAGUCGAGGGGUAGAGUAGCAAUACUUGAGACCGGCGCACGGGUGCGUAACGCGUAUGCAACCUACCUUUUACAGAGGGAUAGCCCAGAGAAAUUUGGAUUAAUACCUCGUAGUAUAUGUCUUUCGCAUGUUAGACAUAUUAAAGUUCCAACGGUAAAAGAUGGGCAUGCGUCCUAUUAGCUAGAUGGUAAGGUAACGGCUUACCAUGGCAACGAUAGGUAGGGGUCCUGAGAGGGAGAUCCCCCACACUGGUACUGAGACACGGACCAGACUCCUACGGGAGGCAGCAGUGAGGAAUAUUGGACAAUGGGCGCAAGCCUGAUCCAGCCAUGCCGCGUGCAGGAAGACGGUCCUAUGGAUUGUAAACUGCUUUUGUACGGGAAGAAACACUCCCUCGUGAGGGAGCUUGACGGUACCGUAAGAAUAAGGAUCGGCUAACUCCGU